GCAAAACCACAGGAAAGAACUAUUAUGAACAAAACAAAUGUACCCAAGCUCUUAACUAUAAGCAUGAGGGAACAUGUUGAAAAGCAACAACAAUCAUCAUUUUCUUAUGAUUACAAAACUGUAAUUAUGUCCAUGUCAGCUUAUUUGUUCUAUUCAUUUAGGGAUACUCUAGUCCUUCACCAGAGAGAAUUAGAAGGCUCAAAACCCUAUGCUUUUACUCCUACUCAGGGAGUUCCUAUUCAAGAACCCAAUUACAACUACUUGAAAUUCUUCCCUCACACACUGAUUACAUUUAAACUAGCAGGUAAUGAGAGUUGCUAAUGGGAAAUACAAAAUGCUAUUGGUUACAGUCCUUGAGAAAAGAAAUACAUGUUUAUUCACUUCAUCCCUCAUCAAAAUCCCAUGAUCUCACAGAAACAAGGAAAAGUAAAAAGCCACCAUGAAUCAAUUUGUCUAUGAUACUUGGCAUCCAAGUCAUUUUUUACUUUCAAUUCGAAACGCAUGUUAAAAGUUCGUCUUUGCACCAUUUAACAACAAAAAAAAUGAUGACCCAUAAUCUUGUCUCUAUAGGUAGUAAAGUUGACAUUUUAUUUCGCAUUAUGCAUUCCAAGUUCACUCUCUCCCUCUCUUCCUUCUCAUUUUGCUUACAUCAUCCAAGCUUUAUCCCAAUGACUUGGGGUCGGCUACAUGAAUCCUAUAGUCGGCUACAUGAAUCCUAUGGCUUUCAUAUAAAUUCAGAAUACAAAACUUGUUUUUUUAAUAAAUAUUAAUGCAAAUAUAACAAUAAGAUCUAUAAUUUCGAUGGAAAUUCGUAUAAGGUGAAGCGCAGAAUUUGGAAACCCAACAUAGAAAAG
RNAcentral lists this long non-coding RNA (854 nucleotides) under Amborella trichopoda. RNAcentral's name for it is "long non-coding RNA (ATRI_LNC003891)". The record is from RNAcentral. Lineage: Eukaryota; Viridiplantae; Streptophyta; Magnoliopsida; Amborellales; Amborellaceae.